UUUGUAGCUCAGUGGUAGAGCAUUUGUCCAGUGUGCAUGAGGCCCUGGGUUUGAUGCCCAGCACUAAAA
This 69-nucleotide transfer RNA is filed under the name Marmota monax (woodchuck). Its description in RNAcentral is "tRNA.Thr". The stretch from base 3 to 63 matches the Rfam family "tRNA", at positions 6 to 65 of the family's 71-position model. From Rfam's summary of the family: Transfer RNA (tRNA) molecules are approximately 80 nucleotides in length. Their secondary structure includes four short double-helical elements and three loops (D, anti-codon, and T loops). The record is from RNAcentral. Lineage: Eukaryota; Metazoa; Chordata; Mammalia; Rodentia; Sciuridae.